GUUGGUUUAUUGUGGUCGGGUUCGCUAUUUUCCGGGUUUAAAAGAAUCCUGCAUGCUUGAAGACUUUGGGAAGCGAGAACUGAGAAUUUGAAUGGAAGGGUCGCAGACUAAUUCAACCACCACCAGCGCCGCCGGUCCUGCCACCACAACUGGCAACCCUAAUUCCUCCAGCAAUUCCAUUUUAUCAUCAGCACCGGUGUGGCCCACUGUAGAUGGCCCACUGGGUCUCUCGGAGGAUGAAUCGUUGAGCUAUGCCCGCAGAUUCUACAAAUUCGGAUUUGCGCUCUUGCCUUGGCUAUGGGCAGUCAAUUGCUUCUACUUCUGGCCAGUUCUCCGCCACUCCCGCGCCUUCCCUCGCAUUCGCCCCUAUGUUGUGAGAUCAGCGGCAGGAUUCUCAGUAUUCACAUUUCUUCUUUGCUCAUGGGCCUUGACAUUUGCCAUUGGAGGGGAGGAACUCUUUGGCCCUGUUUGGGAUAAACUUGUUAUGUACAAUGUUGCCGACAGAUUAGGCUUGACGGGUUGGGUAUAGUCAUGUUCUCAUGUGAAAUUAAAGGUCAUGACAAAUAUUCAUUCAGCUCUUUUGAUUGCCUGGUUUUUAACAUAUGUCUUGUAUUUAUUACCCCAAUGUGAGGCCACUACCUGUUAUUUGUAAUGGAGAAGAUAUUUAGAUAUGACUCUUGUUUUGUUAUUAUAUUCUAUGAUUUCUGUUAGGGUUAUUGAACCCUAACAAAUGUUUCUUCCUAAAAUAGAAUAGAAC
This 757-nucleotide unclassified non-coding RNA is filed under the name Hevea brasiliensis (rubber tree). Lineage: Eukaryota; Viridiplantae; Streptophyta; Magnoliopsida; Malpighiales; Euphorbiaceae. The record is from RNAcentral.